RNAcentral lists this ribosomal RNA (382 nucleotides) under uncultured marine Chaetocerotaceae. RNAcentral's name for it is "SSU rRNA". It matches the Rfam family "Eukaryotic small subunit ribosomal RNA", at positions 587 to 972 of the family's 1831-position model. Lineage: Eukaryota; Bacillariophyta; Thalassiosirophyceae; Chaetocerotales; Chaetocerotaceae. The record is from RNAcentral.
AGCUUCAGUAGCGUAUAUUAAAGUUGUUGCAGUUAAAAAGCUCGUAGUCGCAUUUCUGGCGAGCGGAUCCGGUCCGACCUUUUGGUGGGUUCUUGGGUCUCUUUCGCCAUCCUUGAGUGGUCCGUUCUGGCAUUAGGUUGUCGGAGCGUCAGCCGCUCAUCGUUUACUGUGAGAAAAUUAGAGUGUUCAAAGCAGGCUUAUGCCGUUGAAUAUAUUAGCAUGGAAUAAUAAGAUAGGACCUCGGUACUAUUUGGUUGGUUUGCGCACCAAGGUAAUGAUGAACAGGGACAGUUGGGGGUAUUUGUAUUUCGUUGUCAGAGGUGAAAUUCUUAGAUUUACGAAAGACAAACUACUGCGAAAGCAUUUACCAAGGAUGUUUUCA